RNAcentral lists this long non-coding RNA (419 nucleotides) under Mytilus galloprovincialis (Mediterranean mussel). Lineage: Eukaryota; Metazoa; Mollusca; Bivalvia; Mytilida; Mytilidae. The record is from RNAcentral.
UUUUUUUUUAUUUUAAUGAAGAGACAAAACAUUUUUAGAAUAACUGUAUUGAGGUUUUUAUAAUGGGAUUUUAUAGCCAAUUUUUGCACAGAAUUUUAUAGAAAGUAAAAAUAAAUGCUGAGUGUGUAUUUCUUACUUAUGUGUUUAUCUCUCCAAAUCUCACUCAAGAACUGCUGCUGCUUAGAAAUUAUCCACCAUACUAGUAUUCACAAUUGUUUAUUUUUGUUUCCAUGGUUACUUUUAGACACUUUUUAGAAUUAUUUACCUCACUUUUAUAUUUGAUAAAACUAUUUUUCAUUUGUAAUUUUAAAAUGUUAUGAUAAAGAAUUAUUUGUACGUUCUUAGAAUGAUAGAUCUUUUCUUGCUUUAUGUCGCAUUUAUCAGAGCAAGUAAUCAAUUAUUUAGGGGUAAAACUUUUU